UUUAGAGUUUGUUCAUGGCUCUGGAUGAACGCUGGCGGCGUGCCUAAUACAUGCAAGUCGAGCGAACAGAUGAGAAGCUCGCUUCUGUGAUGUUAGCGGCGGACGGGUGAGUAACACGUGAGUAACCUACCUAUAAGACUGGGAUAACUCCGGGAAACCGGUGCUAAUACCGGAUAAUAUUUUGAACCGCAUCGUUCAAUAGUGAAAGACGGUUUCGGCUGUCACUUAUAGAUGGACCCGCGCCGUAUUAGCUAGUUGGUAAGGUAAUGGCUUACCAAGGGGACGAUACGUAGCCGACUUGAGAGGGUGAUCGGCCACACUGGAAAUGAGACACGGUCCAGACUCCUACGGGAGGCAGCAGUAGGGAAUUUUCCGCAAUGGGGGAAAGCCUGACGGAGCAACGCCGCGUGAGUGAUGAAGGUCUUCGGAUCGUAAAACUCUGUUGUUAGGGAAGAACAAAUUUGUUAGUAACUGAACAAGUCUUGACGGUACCUAACCAGAAAGCCACGGCUAAAUACGUGCCAGCAGCCGCGGUAAUACGUAGGUGGCAAGCGUUAUCUGGAAUUAUUGGGCGUAAAGCGCGCGUAGGCGGUUUCUUAAGUUUGAUGUGAAAGCCCACGGCUCAACCGUGGAGGGUCAUUGGAAACUGGGAAACUUGAGUGCAGAAGAGGAGAGUGGAAUUCCAUGUGUAGCGGUGAAAUGCGCAGAGAUAUGGAGGAACACCAGUGGGGAAGGCGGCUCUCUGGUCUGUAACUGACGGUGAUGUGCGAAAGCGUGGGGAUCAAACAGGAUUAGAUACCCUGGUAGUUCACGCCGUAAACGAUGAGUGAUAAGUGUGUAGGUGGGGUUUCCGACGCCCUGUACUUGCUGCAGCUAACGCAUUAAGUCAUUCCGCCUGGGGAGUACGACCGCAAGGUUGAAACUCAAAGGAAUUGACGGGGACCCGCACAAGCGGUGGAGCAUGUGGUUUAAUUCGAAGCAACGCGAAGAACCUUACCAAAUCUUGACAUCCUUUGACCGCUCUAGAGAUAGAGUCUUCCCCUUCGGGGGACAAAGUGACAGGUGGUGCAUGGUUGUCGUCAGCUCGUGUCGUGAGAUGUUGGGUUAAGUCCCGCAACGAGCGCAACCCUUAAGCUUAGUUGCCAUCAUUAAGUUGGGCACUCUAGGUUGACUGCCGGUGACAAACCGGAGGAAGGUGGGGAUGACGUCAAAUCAUCAUGCCCCUUAUGAUUUGGGCUACACACGUGCUACAAUGGAUAAUACAAAGGGCAGCGAAUCCGCGAGGCCAAGCAAAUCCCAUAAAAUUAUUCUCAGUUCGGAUUGUAGUCUGCAACUCGACUACAUGAAGCUGGAAUCGCUAAUAAUCGUAGAUCAGCAUGCUACGGUGAAUACGUUCCCGGGUCUUGUACACACCGCCCGUCACACCACGAGAGUUUGUAACACCCGAAGCCGGUGGAGUAACCUUUUAGGAGCUAGCCGUCGAAGGUGGGACAAAUGAUGUGGGGAUGAAGUCGUAACGAGGUAGCCGAA
RNAcentral lists this ribosomal RNA (1530 nucleotides) under Mammaliicoccus sciuri. RNAcentral describes it as "bacterial SSU rRNA". It matches the Rfam family "Bacterial small subunit ribosomal RNA". Lineage: Bacteria; Bacillati; Bacillota; Bacilli; Caryophanales; Staphylococcaceae. The record is from RNAcentral.